GAUGAACGCUAGCGGCAGGCCUAACACAUGCAAGUCGAGGGGCAGCACAGAAACAGCAAUGUUUUGGUGGCGACCGGCGGACGGGUGCGUAACGCGUAUGCAACCUACCUUUAACAGGGGGAUAACGGAGAGAAAUUUCCACUAAUACCCCAUAAAAUCGAUCAAGGCAUUUUGAUUGGUUGAAAAAUACGGUGGUUAAAGAUGGGCAUGCGUUGUAUUAGGUAGUUGGUGAGGUAAUGGCUCACCAAGCCUACGAUACAUAGGGGGACUGAGAGGUUAGCCCCCCACACUGGUACUGAGACACGGACCAGACUCCUACGGGAGGCAGCAGUGAGGAAUAUUGGUCAAUGUGGGCAACCCUGAACCAGCCAUGCCGCGUGCAGGAAGACGGCUCUACGAGUUGUAAACUGCUUUUAAACAGGGAUAAAGCACAGUAUGUAUACUGUGUUGAAGGUACUGUAAGAAUAAGGAUCGGCUAACUCCGUGCCAGCCGCCGCGGUAA
This 502-nucleotide ribosomal RNA is filed under the name uncultured bacterium. RNAcentral describes it as "partial 16S ribosomal RNA". It matches the Rfam family "Bacterial small subunit ribosomal RNA", at positions 28 to 523 of the family's 1533-position model. The record is from RNAcentral.